GAUGAACGCUGGCGGCGUGCUUAACACAUGCAAGUCGAACGGAAAGGCCCAAGCUUGCUUGGGUACUCGAGUGGCGAACGGGUGAGUAACACGUGGGUGAUCUGCCCUGCACUUCGGGAUAAGCCUGGGAAACUGGGUCUAAUACCGGAUAGGACCACAUUUUGGAUGGUGUGGUGGAAAGUUUUUCGGUGUGGGAUGAGCUCGCGGCCUAUCAGCUUGUUGGUGGGGUAAUGGCCUACCAAGGCGUCGACGGGUAGCCGGCCUGAGAGGGUGUACGGCCACAUUGGGACUGAGAUACGGCCCAGACUCCUACGGGAGGCAGCAGUGGGGAAUAUCGCACAAUGGGCGCAAGCCUGAUGCAGCGACGCCGCGUGGGGGAUGACGGCCUUCGGGUUGUAAACUCCUUUCGCUAGGGACGAAGCGUUAUGUGACGGUACCUGGAGAAGAAGCACCGGCUAACUACGUG
Molecule: ribosomal RNA, 466 nt
Filed under: uncultured bacterium
Lineage: Bacteria
Description: partial 16S ribosomal RNA
Rfam family: Bacterial small subunit ribosomal RNA
Source: RNAcentral